CACACACUCAGCACACACAACACUCUCACUCUCCCUCUCGGCUCUCUCUCUCGCCUCUCUUACUCUCACUCGGCUGAGGGCGGCACCGCCUCCGGCGCGCCGCCUCGCCGGACGUCUCCCCUCUCCCUCUCACUCUCAUCGCUCUGUCUCGCCGGAAGUCAGCCGCACGCCGCCGCCUUCGCGUGCCACUGCCGCCUCCGCCGUGGCCAAGCACGGCGCCGCCUGGUCGUCCCCAGCCUUGGAACAGGGUGGCAGAGGCCUCUCCGCCGCUGCAUGUGCCUUCUCCGGCCGUUGUGAAAAGCCGAGCGUCGCCGCGCCGCUUCCCCCGUUCUCCGCCGUCUCCGCCAUGGCCGGAAUCGUGGUGGAUGGCCGAGCCUUGCCUCGCCGUGAAGAACCGCCGUUCGUGUCGCUGCGCCGCUGCUUCCGCCGCGUCGCCGGAAAAGAUAAGUCUCUCCCCCUUUUUCCCGUAUCUCUCUCUCUUUUUUUUAUUUUUACAGAAGCCCUAACCAUCUCUCUCUCUACCCUCUUCUCUCUCGUUUUGGCAGGACAAGGGCUAAAAGGCGGCGGCUGCCGCCGCGCCGCCUCCGGCCGCGAGAAGCCGCCGGCUGCUCUCACCCCCAUCUCUCCAUUCCCGGACAUACACAGAAGGCAAAGACACAAGAACCCCCAAAUUCAGUCCAGAUUCACAAGUAUAGCAAAGCUAGGGUUUUGUUUAGAAAUCUGUUCUUUCAUCAUUCAUUUAUCAUUUCCUUAGCAAAAAUCAAACCUUGUAAAUGUAAUAGCUUAGAAAAUAUAUUAACAUGUGUGCGUGCGUAUUCUUCUGUUCUUUGAUGCUUGAAUCGAAAUUAACAAGAUGAAGUAGGGAGAAAUUGGAGUAACCUCGAUAUGAGGGGUGGUGUUGGCAAUAGUUUGAUUCUGCAAUUUGUUGAUCACAAAGUAAGAAUGAAUUUUUUUGAAAUUGAAACUGGAGGAUUAAUGAAGAGUAAGACAUUUAAUUACCUACCUUCUUGAUUUGGAACUUGAAACAACUUGAUAAUUUCUUUGAAGGACCCGUGAGGAGUAGGAGGAAAGAAAAUGGUAAUUUAGAAGAUUAGAGAGAGAGGAUUUCUUAAUGAGGAAUCUGCAAGAUGUAGUGCUGAAUAUGUAAUGUAGUGGUGGAGAAAUAAAAAAAAUGAAGUGUGUGGAGAGUUAGGUGUAUUGGUGGGGAGCAAAGGGUGGUGGUUGAAGAGGUGGAAAGCAUGGCUUUAGCAAAGUUAAAGAAAAGGAGUUGAUAAUAUAAUUAGAUAGUGGAAGACACUAUCUUAAUCAUAAUCUUCCUCUUAAAGCCAGCAAAUUAGAUAGUGAGCUUAUAUGCAAAGAUUUCUU
Long non-coding RNA from Salvia miltiorrhiza (redroot sage), 1365 nucleotides. RefSeq lists it as uncharacterized. The record is from RefSeq and is a predicted model, not a curated record. The transcript is spliced from 2 exons. NCBI's taxonomy places the organism in Eukaryota, Viridiplantae, Streptophyta, Magnoliopsida, Lamiales, Lamiaceae.